Molecule: unclassified non-coding RNA, 232 nt
Filed under: air metagenome
Description: partial contains small subunit ribosomal RNA, internal transcribed spacer 1, and 5.8S ribosomal RNA
Rfam family: Eukaryotic small subunit ribosomal RNA (bases 1-46)
Source: RNAcentral
AAGUCGUAACAAGGUCUCCGUAGGUGAACCUGCGGAGGGAUCAUUACCAGUGACCCCCGGCUCCGGCCGGGGAUGAUCAUAACCCUUUGCUGUCCGACUCUGUUGCCUCCGGGGCGACCCUGCCUUCGGGCGGGGGCCCCGGGUGGACACAUUCAAACUCUUGCGUAACUUUGCAGUCUGAGUAAAUUUAAUUAAUAAAUUAAAACUUUCAACAACGGAUCUCUUGGUUCUG